GUCCUGGUGUGCCCCCCAAAAGAUCCUCCCAGUAGUGCAGCACCUGCUCCCAGGGAUGGAGUUUUGGGACCGAGGGCUGCUCCGUGUUUCGGGACACCCGGAGGGGACCGUGGCUCUUCCCCCUCGCCACUCACGGGAGAUAAAAGAGGGAAAACCUUGGGAAAACGCCAGCUCUGAGCUGCCCCGCGCUCCAGGAGCUCGCUGGGGAGGUCAAAGCCGUACUCUCUGCUACUGAAAAGCACAACAAAAUCCCUCCCUGCCUCCCAUCCCCGCGGCUGGAAAACCUGGAUUUCCCAGGGAUUCUGGGGAUGGUGAGGAGGGGACUCCCCCACCCUGACCUCAUCAGCUCCUGGCAAUUAACAGCCGCUAAUGAACGAGCGGGGUGAGGCAGCAGAGGCCGGAGCGUUCCCAGGGACAGCCUGGACACCUCUGGUGCCACCCAAGGAGCUUCUCCAGGUGCAGAGAGGCUUUUCCUGAGGAACCGGGGAACGCGUCACCUUGUCCCGAGCGCCUCUUUUGGUGGCUCCAGAGACGGAAACUCCCCCGAAAAGGCCCGAGGGGGGGGAGGAAGAGAGCGGGAGGAGGGUUGGAAGCCAAACUUUUCUUUGGGCCUUUGUCUGAGCCCACAAAGGCGGCUCUGUUGGAUGAACCUGGCCGAGCACCCACCUGCAGCCAGGUGAGCUGUGGGGGCAGCCGGGCUGCAGCUCCUGCUCAGCCUCCCCGGGCGAGUCCCCUGCUGGCCCUAAAAGUCAGAUUUUUCAGAGCAGCUGCGGGGCAGGGUGAGGCUGCACCCCGAGGUCGGAGUCACUCCCGAGCCUCUCCUGCUCCGGGUGAUGCCCCAGUUCACCUUCGCCUGUUUCUGUGGCCUCCACGGCUUCUGCAAGAUGAAGAGGAAGAAGGAACAGGCCAGCGGGGGGCAGGAGACGGCCGUGUGAGGAUCAGCCCCCGCCCGGGACCCCUCCUGUCCCCUCGAUUCUCCAUUUAUCCUGCAAAUUCUCUCCCGCAUCCCGCGGAUUCUCUCCUCAUUUCCCGUCCCUCCCUGUCCCCAGGACGGCCGGGGAAGAGCCGAAGUGUCCCUGCCCACGAUGUCCCUGCCCGUCCCGCUGGGAGCGAGAAUUCCCUCCCUGCUCCAGCAAUUCCCAGCAGAGAAACCGGGAAAAUCUCCAAAAUCCUGGCCAAGCCUUGUCGUUGCCAGAAUCCAGAGCUGGGCAGCGCCUCUGGCACGGCAAGGUCUGUCCCUGCCUCCUUCCCUCUCCCCGGCACAAUCCUGGAUGCUUCCAGAAACUCGGGAUGCGCUCCGGGAAUUCCUUCGGAUCUUCCUCUUCUCCCCUCCAGAAGCACCCGGACCUGAGCGCUGCUGGAGCAGAUAAAUCCCGCUGAUGGCAGUGGGAAUCAGGUGUCUAUCCAAGGAAAAUUCCAAGGAUUUUCCGUCCUCUGGAGCGGGAGGCGAGCGGUGAAGCCGAAGCUGGAGCCGUGUCCUGGCUGCUCCCGGAUUUCCUUUGGGAAGGGAUGCAGGAACGCAGCUCGUCCUCCCCAUCCCGGAUCCAGCUGGAAUUCCUGCAAAUCCCCCCCAAAAAAAAAUGCUGCGGAUUCCCAGGGUUCACGGGAAGAGCCUCCACCUCCUCAGGAAAGCAGAGCCGCGCUCCCCAAAGAGGAAUUUAUUCCCACCAGCAAUAAUCCCAUCCACCAAGGGAAGGAUCCACUGCCCUGCUCACAUUCCCACCGGGAAUUUGGGGUGGGAACUCUCCAGGCAGGGCAAUUCCUGCAUACAAGACUUAAAAAAUUAAAGCAAAAAAAACCAUUUUAAAUAUUUUUCCCCCCUCAGAAAUCACCUGGUGGAAGCUGUCCCUUCUCCCUGCCGAGGGGAGGAUUCUCUUCCAGGUAUUCCCAGUCUUCCCACAAGACAAAAUUAAUUCGUGGCUGUCCCAAAACUCGGCGUUUUCCAAAGGUUUUCCAGAGGAUGAAACAAUUCCAGAUCAGUUGAUUUGGGAAAAUGCUGAAUUUCCAUUUCAUUUCCCAUUUUUGCACCUCAGCCUCCUCGGUUCCACCUUUGGCGAGGAACUUUGGGAUCAGCUCUGGACCAAAAAAUCCAAGGAAAUUGGUGGAACUCCAAGGGAAUUUCCUGAAUUUCCCCAAUUCCACCUUUGGCAAGGAACAUUGGGAUCAGCUUUGAGCCAAAAAUAAAAAAUCCAAGGAAGUCGGGAAUUUCCUGGGA
Molecule: long non-coding RNA, 2215 nt
Filed under: Parus major (Great Tit)
Lineage: Eukaryota; Metazoa; Chordata; Aves; Passeriformes; Paridae
Description: lncRNA (ENSPMJG00000016962.1)
Source: RNAcentral